UACGGAGGGAGCUAGCGUUGUUCGGAAUUACUGGGCGUAAAGCGCGCGUAGGCGGCUUUGUAAGUUAGAGGUGAAAGCCCGGGGCUCAACUCCGGAAUUGCCUUUAAGACUGCAUCGCUUGAAUCCGGGAGAGGUGAGUGGAAUUCCGAGUGUAGAGGUGAAAUGCGUAGAGAUCCGGAGGAACCCCAGAGGCGAAGGCGGCCACCUGGUUCAGCACUGACGCUCAGACACGACAGCAUGGGGAGCGAACGGG
This 253-nucleotide ribosomal RNA is filed under the name uncultured bacterium. RNAcentral describes it as "partial 16S ribosomal RNA". It matches the Rfam family "Bacterial small subunit ribosomal RNA", at positions 524 to 776 of the family's 1533-position model. The record is from RNAcentral.